Molecule: ribosomal RNA, 373 nt
Filed under: uncultured organism
Description: partial 16S ribosomal RNA
Rfam family: Bacterial small subunit ribosomal RNA
Source: RNAcentral
GGAGGGGUGCAAGCGUUGUUCGGAAUUAUUGGGCGUAAAGAGCGUGUAGGGCGGUUCGGUAAGUCAGAUGUGAAAGCCCUGGGCUCAACCCAGGAAGUGCAUUUGAAACUACCAGACUUGAGUGCGGGAGAGGAGGGGGGAAUUCCCGGUGUAGAGGUGAAAUUCGUAGAUAUCGGGAGGAAUACCAGUGGCGAAGGCGCCCCUCUGGACCGAUACUGACGCUGAGACGCGAAAGCGUGGGGAGCAAACAGGAUUAGAUACCCUGGUAGUCCACGCCGUAAACGAUGAGCACUAGGUGUAGCGGGUAUUGACCCCUGCUGUGCCGUAGCUAACGCAUUAAGUGCUCCGCCUGGGGACUACGGUCGCAAGACUA